GACGGUGAUGGUGAGUCGAUCAAUGCAAGGCAAUUAUUCCAUGUUUGAAUGCUCUUCGCUAUAAUUGUCGCUGGGCUUAGGUCUUUGAAUAGAGGAUUUUCGAGAGUCCUCUUUACUAAUGCUGAGUGGCACAGUUUUCCCAACCCAACAAGUUCGCCGCAACACUUGUUAGAAAUACUCCCUGUCUCGAAAAUACUCGUGAAAGCUUCUAGAACACAGGGCAAACCCAUUUUAGUUUCACAUGUAUUUUCCUUAAUAAUCUGGUCGUUCUCCUUCGUAGCCAUUGCUGCCCCGCAAGUUAAUAAUAAAACCAGUAGUGCGGAAUAAACAUUAAGGCUUGCCAUACCGCUCGAAUCUGAUGUUACUAGUUAAAUUUGGUUCGUAAAAUUAAUUUCGAACAAUAUUUGCAGGGAAAAACUGGCAUUUAUAGGAAGUGUUAUAACCACGUUGGACUACAAUACGUUACAAUAAAAGAAAACAUUCGAUAUUUCAGUUUAAUUAGAACAUUCAAUAUUUCAUUUUAAUUAGCAUUAAU
RNAcentral lists this long non-coding RNA (535 nucleotides) under Gossypium raimondii (Peruvian cotton). Its description in RNAcentral is "long non-coding RNA (GRAI_LNC011192)". The record is from RNAcentral. Lineage: Eukaryota; Viridiplantae; Streptophyta; Magnoliopsida; Malvales; Malvaceae.